GUGGUUUGAUGCCUUGAAGGAUGUAGUGUAAUCCCCACUGCAUACCUUGAACACACAUUUCGAUCGAGGAGAUCUUCGAAAGUCUGUCUUUGCAGUCGAGACUUAGAGUGCGCCAUCGGUUGAUGUAGUCCAUGACUGGCUCAUCUUUCCAUUGCUUCGUACUUGUCAGCUCCAACAUGCUUACAGUGCGGCGGGUGCUGUAGAAGCGAUUAAGG
Molecule: long non-coding RNA, 215 nt
Filed under: Malus domestica (apple)
Lineage: Eukaryota; Viridiplantae; Streptophyta; Magnoliopsida; Rosales; Rosaceae
Description: long non-coding RNA (MDOM_LNC019174)
Source: RNAcentral